RNAcentral lists this RNase P RNA (371 nucleotides) under Clostridiales bacterium. Its description in RNAcentral is "RNase P RNA component class A". It matches the Rfam family "Bacterial RNase P class A". From Rfam's summary of the family: Ribonuclease P (RNase P) is a ubiquitous endoribonuclease, found in archaea, bacteria and eukarya as well as chloroplasts and mitochondria. Its best characterised activity is the generation of mature 5'-ends of tRNAs by cleaving the 5'-leader elements of precursor-tRNAs. Cellular RNase Ps are ribonucleoproteins. The record is from RNAcentral. Lineage: Bacteria; Bacillati; Bacillota; Clostridia; Eubacteriales.
CGAGUAAGUUGAAUGAACGCAGGCGGAGCGCCGAAAGGCCCCGUCUGAGGAAAGUCCGGGCUCCAUAGGGCAAGGGUGCUGGUUAACGGCCAGUGAGGGCGACCUUAAGGAUCAGUGCCACAGAAACAAACCGCCAAAGCGGGUCGCUAUUGAGUAUCCGCCGGCAAGGAUGGAACGGUGCGGUAAGAGCGCACCAGCGGCCAGGCGACUGGCCGGCUAGGUAAACCCCACCUGGAGCAAAACCGAAUAGGGAGGCAAAUAGAGGCGGCCCGUCUCGCCUCCGGGUAAGGUUGCUAAAGGACACCGGCAACGGCUGUCCGUAGAUAGAUGUUCAUUUUAAACAGAACCCGGCUUACAGACUUGCUCGCUUA